This 1482-nucleotide ribosomal RNA is filed under the name uncultured bacterium. Its description in RNAcentral is "bacterial SSU rRNA". It matches the Rfam family "Bacterial small subunit ribosomal RNA". The record is from RNAcentral.
AGAGUUUGAUCCUGGCUCAGGAUGAACGCUGGCGGCGUGCUUAAUACAUGCAAGUCGAACGAGGAGCUUUUGUCUUCGGAUGAGGGUUUCCUAGUGGCGAACGGGUGAGUAACGCGUUGGUGACCUGCCCCAAAGAAAGGGAUAACAGUUCGAAAGAAUUGCUAAUACCUUAUGUUAUCAGUUGGAUUAGAUGCCUUCUGAUUAAAGGAGUAAUCCGCUUUGGGAGGGACCUGCGUCCCAUCAGCUAGUUGGUAGGGUAAUAGCCUACCAAGGCAAUGACGGGUAGGGGACCUGAGAGGGUGACCCCCCACAAUGGCACUGAAACACGGGCCAUACACCUACGGGUGGCAGCAGUAGGGAAUAUUGGACAAUGGGCGGAAGCCUGAUCCAGCAACGCCGCGUGCACGAUGACGGCCUUCGGGUUGUAAAGUGCUUUUAGAGGAGAUGAGAAAGGACAGUAUCCUCUGAAUAAGCCUCGGCGAACUACGUGCCAGCAGCCGCGGUAAAACGUAGGAGGCAAGCGUUAUCCGGAUUUAUUGGGCGUAAAGCGCGUGCAGGCGGUUUGACAAGUUGGAUGUGAAAGCUCCUGGCUUAACUGGGAGAGGUCGUUCAAUACUGUCAGACUAGAGAAUGGGAGAGGGAGGUGGAAUUCCGGGUGUAGUGGUGAAAUGCGUAGAUAUCCGGAGGAACACCAGUGGCGAAAGCGGCCUCCUAGACCAUUUCUGACGCUAAGACGCGAAAGCUAGGGUAGCAAACGGGAUUAGAUACCCCGGUAGUCCACGCCGUAAACAAUGUGCACUAGGUCGAGGGCGUUCUGACGCGACUCUCGGCCGAAGCGAAAGUGUUAAGUGCACCGCCUGGGGAUUACGGUCGCAAGGCCAAAACUCAAAGGAAUUGACGGGGGCUCACACAAGCGGUGGAGCAUGUGGCUUAAUUCGAAGCAACGCGAAGAACCUUAUCCUAGGUUUGACAUACACGGAUUAGCUAUAAGAAACUAUAGUGACACCUUCGGGUGGAACGUGAACAGGUGCUGCAUGGCUGUCGUCAGCUCGUGCUGUGAAGUGUCGGGUUAAGUCCCUUAACGAGCGCAACCCUUAUCGUUAGUUGCUAACAGGUAAUGCUGAGGACUCUAGCGAGACUGCCGGUGUUAAACCGGAGGAAGGUGGGGAUGACGUCAAGUCCGCAUGGCCUUUAUGCCUAGGGCUGCACACGUGCUACAAUGGCAAGUACAAAACGAAGCAAUACCGCAAGGUGGAGCAAAUCGCAAAAACUUGCCCCAGUUCGGAUUGCAGGCUGCAACUCGCCUGCAUGAAGUUGGAAUCGCUAGUAAUCGUGGAUCAGCAUGCCACGGUGAAUACGUUCCUGAGCCUUGUACACACCGCCCGUCAAGUCAUGGAAGCUGGUAGUGCCUUAAGUCGCCGAGAUUCAUCGGUGCCCACGGCAAGACUGGUGACUGGGACUAAGUCGUAACAAGGUAACCGU